RNAcentral lists this ribosomal RNA (497 nucleotides) under uncultured bacterium. RNAcentral's name for it is "partial 16S ribosomal RNA". It matches the Rfam family "Bacterial small subunit ribosomal RNA", at positions 28 to 507 of the family's 1533-position model. The record is from RNAcentral.
GAGGAAAGCGGGGGGCGUGCCUAAUACAUGCAAGUCGAGCGAACAGACGAGGAGCUUGCUCCUCUGACGUUAGCGGCGGACGGGUGAGUAACACGUGGAUAACCUACCUAUAAGACUGGGAUAACUUCGGGAAACCGGAGCUAAUACCGGAUAAUAUAUUGAACCGCAUGGUUCAAUAGUGAAAGACGGUUUUGCUGUCACUUAUAGAUGGAUCCGCGCCGCAUUAGCUAGUUGGUAAGGUAACGGCUUACCAAGGCGACGAUGCGUAGCCGACCUGAGAGGGUGAUCGGCCACACUGGAACUGAGACACGGUCCAGACUCCUACGGGAGGCAGCAGUAGGGAAUCUUCCGCAAUGGGCGAAAGCCUGACGGAGCAACGCCGCGUGAGUGAUGAAGGUCUUCGGAUCGUAAAACUCUGUUAUUAGGGAAGAACAAAUGUGUAAGUAACUAUGCACGUCUUGACGGUACCUAAUCAGAAAGCCACGGCUAACUACGUG